AAUGACGUUCCUCUUCUGAGCCUGACUGUGAGAGAGUUCAUUCCUUCACAUUCCUGUAUAUAAAUCAGUGCAAACUUGGAUCACACUCUGCACAGGGAUCCACCAUUGCAGAGCCUUGUGCUGGAGGUAGCACUGCUGAUCUGCUGGUCAUGUGAAUUGACCUUGAGAUGCAGCACCAGAAUGAGUGACCUUGAGAUGCAGCCAAAUCAGAAAAAAGAGAAAAUCACAAUGUGACUGUAUCAGAUGAAGAUGUCCCAGUCUGCAUUAAUCCUGCUCUAGUUACCUGGAAACUGUCUAUCCAGUUGUAUGUGAAAACCUGGAGCACGUGUCACUGAGCCAAAUUCCAUCAUCUGCCAGUCACUAUUAAACAUUGGCCCACGUCACAAGAAUCACCAUUUGCUGUCACAGUAAUAAGGGCAGCUGAAGACUCACUGAGAAUCACCAUUCUGUGCCCUUCAAGGAAGUCUCCUCCUAGGACUGGUAUACCAGGMACAGCUGUGCCCAUUCUAGAAGCAAAGCUUAAAGUCCUCCUCCUCUAAUCAACAGUGUGUGUAGGAGUAGACCAAGGCUUCUGCUAAGAGCUGAAAAU
RNAcentral lists this long non-coding RNA (589 nucleotides) under Dromaius novaehollandiae (emu). Its description in RNAcentral is "lncRNA (ENSDNVG00000004776.1)". The record is from RNAcentral. Lineage: Eukaryota; Metazoa; Chordata; Aves; Casuariiformes; Dromaiidae.